ACAAGAGGAAUUAGUACUGAAAGAUCCGGCAGUGAGAAGCCUUUGAAGCUCACUUCUUAGAGCUGAGCAGGUGCAGUUGUUACAACAGAUAAAAUGAGCUGGCAGAAAGGAAAAAAGGAACUUACAGAAGAAAGCAUAGGAGAUGGGAAGCACAGCCGAAAAAAACGAGAGCGACUAUUUAAGAAAAGAUUUUCUGGAUUGAGUCUCUUCUCUGGGUCUCCUAAGAAUAAACUCCCUCAGGGAAGGAAUCAGAUUUUUGAAGACAAGAGAAGAUGUUUGCACAGGAAAGGUUCCAAAAAGCUGAAGCCAGCACGAGAGGAAAUAUGUUCUUUAAGGCAGCCACACUCUGGGAAAAUGUGUCCGAAGUGUGAAAUCCUUGUCUGCCGAAAAUGUGAGACACUGCAUUCAGAAAGCAGCUUCAUUGCCCACAGCCUGCUCGAUCACUAUGACAGAGGAGGACGUGACAGCUCUAACACAUUGAUUGCAAAAGGCCAGCAAAUACACAGAGUGCCUGGAAGGACUUGCCCAGUGACAAUCAGGAGAGCAGGAAGGUGA
This 555-nucleotide long non-coding RNA is filed under the name Anser brachyrhynchus (Pink-footed goose). RNAcentral's name for it is "lncRNA (ENSABRG00000007543.1)". Lineage: Eukaryota; Metazoa; Chordata; Aves; Anseriformes; Anatidae. The record is from RNAcentral.